This 468-nucleotide ribosomal RNA is filed under the name uncultured bacterium. Its description in RNAcentral is "partial 16S ribosomal RNA". It matches the Rfam family "Bacterial small subunit ribosomal RNA", at positions 28 to 507 of the family's 1533-position model. The record is from RNAcentral.
GAUGAACGCUGGCGGCGUGCUUAACACAUGCAAGUCGAACGGUGAAGGCGGAGCUUGCUCUGCUGGAUCAGUGGCGAACGGGUGAGUAACACGUGAGCAAUCUGCCCCUGACUCUGGGAUAAGCGCUGGAAACGGCGUCUAAUACUGGAUACGAGCUGCGAAGGCAUCUUCAGCAGCUGGAAAGAACUUCGGUCAGGGAUGAGCUCGCGGCCUAUCAGCUUGUUGGUGAGGUAACGGCUCACCAAGGCGUCGACGGGUAGCCGGCCUGAGAGGGUGACCGGCCACACUAGGACUGGGACACGGCACAGACUCCUACGGGAGGCAGCAGUGGGGAAGAGUGCACAAUGGGCGGAAGCCUGAUGCAGCAACGCCGCGUGAGGGACGACGGCCUUCGGGUUGUAAACCUCUUUUAGCAGGGAAGAAGCGAAAGUGACGGUACCUGCAGAAAAAGCGCCGGCUAACUACGUG